AACGAACGCUGGCGGCAUGCCUAACACAUGCAAGUCGAACGAGACCUUCGGGUCUAGUGGCGCACGGGUGCGUAACGCGUGGGAACCUGCCCUUAGGUUCGGAAUAACUCCCCGAAAGGGGUGCUAAUACCGGAUAAUGUCUUCGGACCAAAGAUUUAUCGCCUUUGGAUGGGCCCGCGUUGGAUUAGCUAGUUGGUAGGGUAAAAGCCUACCAAGGCGACGAUCCAUAGCUGGUCUGAGAGGAUGAUCAGCCACACUGGGACUGAGACACGGCCCAGACUCCUACGGGAGGCAGCAGUGGGGAAUAUUGGACAAUGGGCGAAAGCCUGAUCCAGCAAUGCCGCGUGAGUGAUGAAGGCCUUAGGGUUGUAAAGCUCUUUUACCCGGGAUGAUAAGGACAGUACCGGGAGAAUAAGCUCCGGCUAACUCCG
This 431-nucleotide ribosomal RNA is filed under the name uncultured bacterium. Its description in RNAcentral is "partial 16S ribosomal RNA". It matches the Rfam family "Bacterial small subunit ribosomal RNA", at positions 29 to 505 of the family's 1533-position model. The record is from RNAcentral.